CCAGACAGCCAGGAUGUUGGCUUAGAAGCAGCCAUCAUUUAAAGAAAGCGUAAUAGCUCACUGGUCGAGUCGGCCUGCGCGGAAGAUGUAACGGGGCUAAACCAUGCACCGAAGCUGCGGCAGCGACACUGUGUGUUGUUGGGUAGGGGAGCGUUCUGUAAGCCUGUGAAGGUGUGCUGUGAGGCAUGCUGGAGGUAUCAGAAGUGCGAAUGCUGACAUAAGUAACGAUAAAGCGGGUGAAAAGCCCGCUCGCCGGAAGAC
Molecule: ribosomal RNA, 261 nt
Filed under: Escherichia coli
Lineage: Bacteria; Pseudomonadati; Pseudomonadota; Gammaproteobacteria; Enterobacterales; Enterobacteriaceae
Description: partial 23S ribosomal RNA
Rfam family: Bacterial large subunit ribosomal RNA
Source: RNAcentral